This 109-nucleotide transfer RNA is filed under the name Candidatus Bathyarchaeota archaeon. RNAcentral describes it as "tRNA-Ser". It matches the Rfam family "tRNA". From Rfam's summary of the family: Transfer RNA (tRNA) molecules are approximately 80 nucleotides in length. Their secondary structure includes four short double-helical elements and three loops (D, anti-codon, and T loops). Lineage: Archaea; Thermoproteati; Candidatus Bathyarchaeota. The record is from RNAcentral.
GCCCGGGUCCCUUAGCUUGGUAGAGGGCAAGCCUGGAGAGCUUGUGGCCCUUACGGGCCUCAAGGGUUCAAGGAGCAGCAGAAACUGCUUGAGAAUCCCUUCCCGGGCG